CGGCCGGUCCGCCGUUUGGUGUGCACUGGCUGGUUUCAGCUUCCUGCAGAGGACGCGCUCUGGGCUUAAUCGUCUGGACGUGGAGUCUGCGUGGUUACUUUGAAAAAAUUAGAGUGUUCAAAGCGGGCUUACGCUUGAAUAUUUCAGCAUGGAAUAACACUAUAGGACUCCUGUCCUAUUUCGUUGGUCUCGGGACGGGAGUAAUGAUUAAGAGGAACAGUUGGGGGCAUUCGUAUUUCAAUGUCAGAGGUGAAAUUCUUGGAUUUUUGAAAGACGAACUUCUGCGAAAGCAUUUGCCAAGGAUGUUUUCAUUAAUCAAGAACGAAAGUUGGGGGCUCGAAGAUGAUUAGAUACCAUCCUAGUCUCAACCAUAAACGAUGCCGACUAGGGAUUGGCGGAUGUUAAUUGAUGACUCCGCCAGCACCUUAUGAGAAAUCAAAGUUUUUGGGUUCCGGGGGGAGUAUGGUCGCAAGGCUGAAACUCAAA
Molecule: ribosomal RNA, 486 nt
Filed under: eukaryotic picoplankton environmental sample
Lineage: Eukaryota
Description: SSU rRNA
Rfam family: Eukaryotic small subunit ribosomal RNA
Source: RNAcentral